AGAGCGAACGCUGGCGGCAGGCUUAACACAUGCAAGUCGAGCGCCCGUAGCAAUACGGGAGCGGCAGACGGGAUAGUAACACGUGGGAACGCGCCCUUCGGUUCGGAAUAACUCAGGGAAACUUGAGCUAAUACCGGAUACGCCCUUACGGGGAAAGAUUUAUUGCCGAAGGAACGGCCCGCGUCCGAUUAGCUAGUUGGUGAGGUAAUGGCUCACCAAGGCGACGAUCGGUAGCUGGUCUGAGAGGAUGACCAGCAUCACUGGGACUGAGACACGGCCCAGACUCCUACGGGAGGCAGCAGUGGGGAAUCUUGCGCAAUGGGCGAAAGCCUGACGCAGCAACGCCGCGUGAGGGACGAAGGCCUUCUGGGUUGUAAACCUCUUUCAGCAGGGACGAUUGUGACGGUACCUGCAGAAGAAGCCCCGGCAACUACGUGCCAGCAGCCGC
RNAcentral lists this ribosomal RNA (448 nucleotides) under uncultured bacterium. Its description in RNAcentral is "SSU rRNA". It matches the Rfam family "Bacterial small subunit ribosomal RNA", at positions 26 to 518 of the family's 1533-position model. The record is from RNAcentral.